AAUCCAUAGGUUAAUGAGGCGAACCGGGGGAACUGAAACAUCUAAGUACCCCGAGGAAAAGAAAUCAACCGAGAUUCCCCCAGUAGCGGCGAGCGAACGGGGAGGAGCCCAGAGCCUGAAUCAGCAUGUGUGUUAGUGGAAGCGUCUGGAAAGGCGCGCGAUACAGGGUGACAGCCCCGUACACAAAAGCGCAUGUGCUGUGAGCUCGAUGAGUAGGGCGGGACACGUGGUAUCCUGUCUGAAUAUGGGGGGACCAUCCUCCAAGGCUAAAUACUCCUGACUGACCGAUAGUGAACCAGUACCGUGAGGGAAAGGCGAAAAGAACCCCGGCGAGGGGAGUGAAAAAGAACCUGAAACCGUGUACGUACAAGCAGUGGGAGCCCCACCACCAAAGCAUUUGCUGUACCGCGUUGACGGAGCGAAGCGACGUCAAACCGAUAAAACAGCAGUGUAAAGUGAGCCGCAGGGCGCUUUGCGCGACAGCGCAAAGGCAGGCGGUUUCGCGUAGCGAAAGCGAAUGCUUUGGGGUGGGGUGACUGCGUACCUUUUGUAUAAUGGGUCAGCGACUUAUAUUCUGUAGCAAGGUUAACCGAAUAGGGGAGCCGGAGGGAAACCGAGUCUUAAUUGGGCGUUAAGUUGCAGGGUAUAGACCCGAAACCCGGUGAUCUAGCCAUGGGCAGGUUGAAGG
Molecule: ribosomal RNA, 688 nt
Filed under: Salmonella enterica subsp. enterica serovar Enteritidis
Lineage: Bacteria; Pseudomonadati; Pseudomonadota; Gammaproteobacteria; Enterobacterales; Enterobacteriaceae
Description: partial 23S ribosomal RNA
Rfam family: Bacterial large subunit ribosomal RNA
Source: RNAcentral